AUUGAACGCUGGCGGCAUGCUUUACACAUGCAAGUCGAACGGCAGCGCGGGCUUCGGCCUGGCGGCGAGUGGAGAACGGGUGAGUAAUGCAUCGGAACGUGCCCAGUAGUGGGGGAUAGGCCGGCGAAAGCCGGAUUAAUACCGCAUACGCCCUGAGGGGGAAAGCGGGGGACCGAAAGGCCUCGGGCUAUUGGAGAGGCCGAUGUCGGAUUAGCUAGUUGGUGGGGUAAAGGCUUACCAAGGCGACGAUCCGUAGCUGGUCUGAGAGGACGACCAGCCACACUGGGACUGAGACACGGCCCAGACUCCUACGGGAGGCAGCAGUGGGGAAUUUUGGACAAUGGGGGCAACCCUGAUCCAGCCAUGCCGCGUGCGGGAAGAAGGCCUUCGGGUUGUAAACCGCUUUUGUUCGGGAAGAAAUCCUCUGGGCUAAUACCCCGGGGGGAUGACGGUACCGGAAGAAUAAGCACCGGCUAACUACGUG
Molecule: ribosomal RNA, 484 nt
Filed under: uncultured bacterium
Lineage: Bacteria
Description: partial 16S ribosomal RNA
Rfam family: Bacterial small subunit ribosomal RNA
Source: RNAcentral